GAACCCCGGUAGGGUUCCGGAACGAGAAGGACCUUGGUACGUGCAGGGGUCCGGUGCUGACAUGUGUGCGGGCCUUGCUCUCCACUUUCCGCACAGGCGGAGACCUGCUGCUUGUGGCCCAUGACAUAAGCUGUCGGGCCAAACCUGACGAAAAGUCGUGCAGCCCCUGCAUUUAUUGAGGAAAAGACGCGCCGCCUGCCACUGCGCUGACGGGCGACGUGCCCCCUCAGCAUUUAAUGCGUCCCGUCCCAUCCGCUGGCAGGCGACGUCAAGGUCAUCCAGCAGACAGCGCGCCUGCUGGGUCUGCUGGUGAACAGUAUGCCUGUGCUGAGCGGCGUGCUAUACUCAUCUUCUCUUCCGCAAGAAGCCUCCUCGGUACGCCAGGGAUACGCAGAUCUCGGGCAGAGAAGAUUGUCUCGACAACAGAUAUUAGAGGAUCCAAGCACUAUAUUCUUUAUGUCCCUGGGCCCACAUGUCGGGGCCCAGUCCCUUUGUGCAUGCCCCCCUUCAGCUAUAAAAGGGGAGGCAUGCGAUGUUACACACACACACGCAAUCUCAGACUCGCUAGCUCAUACAAGCUCUCAAGCAAUACAUCUCACAGUGGAGUAGGGUAUUACGCUCCGGCGGCCCGAACCACUCUAAACCCUUGUGUGUCCUUGUGUAUUGCCCCUUCUCUCCAACAAUCAAGCGAAACGCCUAAGCCCCUCCUCAUCUCAGGACUUAGGGCGGGUGCACUCCGCCACCCGGCCGGAGAUCUACUCUCCGACAGGUCCCAUUAGCUUAACCUAACAGUGCCACUGUGAUUAAGAGAAUAAUGAACAUUAUUAGGUCAAAGAAUGUGAUCAAGUACACAACUUGCCUUUUACUUGCAAUAACCAGUUGUCCAGAUGCUUCCCCAAAAGUUGGGCUUAAGAUUCUUCGUGACCUCGCUUCUAUUCGUAGCAAUACAUGCAAAUAGGCAAAUAAUGGAUACAAUAACAUGACCCCAAAACAUGAAAACAAACUGCGCGAUAAUAUUCUAUGUGUCGUUAUGAAACCGUAGGUUCGAAAACUACUAAAAUCACAGUUAAAAUGAAUUAGUUAUGAAUUUUCUAAGUUCUUUAUACAUUUUAUAUUUAUUUUUAUACUAAAAAUGAUUAUCAUAGGUUUUCCCCAUAAACUCCUAAUCUAUUUAAUCAUUUUAAUAGGGGAAUGGACGACGGGUAUGAAAAUCAAGAAGUACAGGGUCUAACUCGAAAGAAACAUAACUCUUUUGUAACAUUUUUACUAUAUGGGUGUGUUGCUGGUUGUUUUCCUAGAAAUCCAAGGUCUCUUACGCAAAUCUUAUACGGCGAAGGUGUAUCUUCCCAUGUGGAAUGCUGGACCUUCAGUCUACGGAUUAGAUUAGAUUAUAAUCACAUUGAAUCGGUAUGCAAUCUUGAUCAUCGGACCUCCGAUCAACGACCGAGGACCCGCAUUAUCUCCACACCGUUUGAUCACAAAUCUUCGUUUCUUGAUUAACUCAUGAAGGGAUACACGUAGGUUUUAAUCACGACCGCAUAUCCACCGAUCAACGACCAACCUCCCUCCUCCUACGCCCCCAUUGCCUCAGAAAGUUGCACGUUCAUUACCACGACAGAGGGCUCGUUGGUGGCACACGAUCUCACGAUUACUUGAUCCGAAUCAAACACCAAUACGCUCUAAACUACAAGAAGUGCAAGGAGAAGUUAUAAGAGCAGACCUUUCUGGCGGGUGAUGUCGAGACCGAGCCGACCAUGAUGAUCUGUGGCUUGGUAGCGAGCUGAAGGGGCGGAUCUAGCCCAAAAUCCGAGUGGGGCCCAACUAUUGAGGGGGGCCUAAAUGGAAGCUUACUAGCAAAUAGUAUUUCAUAACUAUAAUAAUUAAGAUAGAAAGUUAACUGUAAUCAGAAAUUUGAGUGGGGGCCUGUGCCCCCACUCACCAUAACGUCGGUCCGCCACUGGCGAGCUCCUCGCUCCGACGAGCAAUUCACCGAGCUCCUGUGAUAUUUUCGCCCAUAAAGGCCACGGUCAUGUGAGGGGAUCUCUGGUGGAGCCCUAGGAUCACCAUCCGAGGUUGCGGCAUGGCCGAGGAUCACGGUUGAUGGCGGCGACUAUCUCUCCUCUCUCUCUCUUUGCCUCUUGCGGCGGCGACUCCCUAUAUUAUGCGUGGUGCUGGAGGUUCUCAAUUGCGUUUGAGGUACGGG
RNAcentral lists this long non-coding RNA (2203 nucleotides) under Zea mays. Its description in RNAcentral is "long non-coding RNA (ZMAY_LNC002551)". The record is from RNAcentral. Lineage: Eukaryota; Viridiplantae; Streptophyta; Magnoliopsida; Poales; Poaceae.